AUGUCACCAUUACUAACCAGGAACAGUGACGACGGCGUCAUUGAUCUUCUUGCCAAGGUAUGCCUCAGCGGUCUCCUUCAUCUUUCCAAGAAUCAUAGCACUGAUCUCCUCAGGGCUGAAGACCUUGGUCUCUCCAUCCUUGAUCUUGACCUGGAUGUAAGGCUUCCCCUCCUUGUUCACAAUCUUGUAGGGGACAAGUUUCAUGUCCCUCUGCACCUCCUUUGCUAUUACUUUCUUCCAAUGAGACGCUUGACGUCAAAGACGGUCCUCUCAGGGUUGACAGCCGCCUGGUUCUUGGCAGCCUCACCGAUGAGCCUCUCCCCAUCGGUGAACCCAACCCAUGAGGGCGUGAUACGGUUACCCUGGUCAUUGGCGAUAAUCUCGACAUGA
This 390-nucleotide ribosomal RNA is filed under the name Triticum aestivum (bread wheat). RNAcentral's name for it is "partial small subunit ribosomal RNA". The record is from RNAcentral. Lineage: Eukaryota; Viridiplantae; Streptophyta; Magnoliopsida; Poales; Poaceae.